UAUCGUUUAUUUGAUAGUACCUUACUACUUGGAUAACCGUGGUAAUUCUAGAGCUAAUACAUGCUAAAAACCCCAACUUCGGGAGGGGUGUAUUUAUUAGAUAAAAAACCAAUGCCCUUCGGGGCUCUUUGGUGAUUCAUGAUAACUUAACGGAUCGCAUGGCCUUGCGCCGGCGACGGUUCAUUCAAAUUUCUGCCCUAUCAACUUUCGAUGGUAAGGUAUUGGCUUACCAUGGUUUCAACGGGUAACGGGGAAUUAGGGUUCGAUUCCGGAGAGGGAGCCUGAGAAACGGCUACCACAUCCAAGGAAGGCAGCAGGCGCGCAAAUUACCCAAUCCCGACACGGGGAGGUAGUGACAAUAAAUACUGAUACAGGGCUCUUUUGGGUCUUGUAAUUGGAAUGAGUACAAUUUAAACCCCUUAACGAGGAACAAUUGGAGGGCAAGUCUGGUGCCAGCAGCCGCGGUAAUUCCAGCUCCAAUAGCGUAUAUUAAAGUUGUUGCAGUUAAAAAGCUCGUAGUUGAAACUUGGGCCUGGCUGGCCGGUCCGCCUCACCGCGUGUACUGGUCCGGCCGGGCCUUUCCUUCUGGAGAGCCUCAUGCCCUUCACUGGGUGUGUUGGGGAACCAGGACUUUUACUUUGAAAAAAUUAGAGUGUUCAAAGCAGGCCUUUGCUCGAAUACGUUAGCAUGGAAUAAUAGAAUAGGACGUGCGAUCCUAUUUUGUUGGUUUCUAGGACCGCCGUAAUGAUUAAUAGGGAUAGUCGGGGGCAUCAGUAUUCAAUUGUCAGAGGUGAAAUUCUUGGAUUUAUUGAAGACUAACUACUGCGAAAGCAUUUGCCAAGGAUGUUUUCAUUAAUCAGUGAACGAAAGUUAGGGGAUCGAAGACGAUCAGAUACCGUCGUAGUCUUAACCGUAAACUAUGCCGACUAGGGAUCG
This 936-nucleotide ribosomal RNA is filed under the name Hongkongmyces sp. GCR-2022a. Its description in RNAcentral is "SSU rRNA". It matches the Rfam family "Eukaryotic small subunit ribosomal RNA", at positions 111 to 1055 of the family's 1831-position model. Lineage: Eukaryota; Fungi; Ascomycota; Dothideomycetes; Pleosporales; Lindgomycetaceae. The record is from RNAcentral.